AUUGAACGCUGGCGGCAGGCCUAACACAUGCAAGUCGAGCGGAUGAAGGGAGCUUGCUCCUGGAUUCAGCGGCGGACGGGUGAGUAAUGCCUAGGAAUCUGCCUGGUAGUGGGGGAUAACGUCCGGAAACGGGCGCCAAUACCGCAUACGUCCUGAGGGAGAAAGUGGGUGAUCUUCGGACCUCACGCUAUCAGAUGAGCCUAGGUCGGAUUAGCUAGUUGGUGGGGUAAAGGCCUACCAAGGCGACGAUCCGUAACUGGUCUGAGAGGAUGAUCAGUCACACUGGAACUGAGACACGGUCCAGACUCCUACGGGAGGCAGCAGUGGAGAAUAUUAGACAAUGGGCGAAAGCCUGAUCCAGCAAUGCCGCGUGUGUGAAGAAGAUCUUCGGAUUGUAAAGCACUUUAAGUUGGGAGGAAGGGCAGUAAGUUAAUACCUUGCUGUUUUGACGUUACCAACAGAAUAAGCACCGGCUAACUUCGUG
This 484-nucleotide ribosomal RNA is filed under the name uncultured bacterium. RNAcentral describes it as "partial 16S ribosomal RNA". It matches the Rfam family "Bacterial small subunit ribosomal RNA", at positions 30 to 507 of the family's 1533-position model. The record is from RNAcentral.